This 774-nucleotide ribosomal RNA is filed under the name uncultured Neocallimastigales. RNAcentral describes it as "partial large subunit ribosomal RNA". The stretch from base 8 to 693 matches the Rfam family "Eukaryotic large subunit ribosomal RNA", at positions 24 to 664 of the family's 3401-position model. Lineage: Eukaryota; Fungi; Neocallimastigomycota; Neocallimastigomycetes; Neocallimastigales. The record is from RNAcentral.
AGAGAUGUGUGAUGACGCAUAUCAAUAAGCGGAGGAAAAGAAACUAACAAGGAUUCCCUUAGUAACGGCGAGUGAAGCGGGAAGAGCUCAAAUUUGAAAUCUUCAAGGUUUUACCUUGACGAAUUGUAGUUUAAAGAAGUGUUUUCUGUUGGAGUUUUGGUAAAAGUUCUUUGGAAUAGGACAUCAUAGAGGGUGAGAAUCCCGUAUUUGACCAUUAUUUCCAGCUGUGUGGUACACUUUCAAAGAGUCGGAUUGUUUGGGAAUGCAGUCCAAAAUGGGUGGUAAAUUUCAUCUAAAGCUAAAUAUUGGCGAGAGACCGAUAGCGAACAAGUACCGUGAGGGAAAGAUGAAAAGAACUUUGAAAAGAGAGUUAAAUAGUACGUGAAAUUGUCAAAAGGGAAGCGUUUGACACCAGUGUUGUUUUCUCGAAAAUCAAUUAAAAAUGAUGGGAUUUUGUGUUGUAUUGACUUUAUCAGCUUUCUGCACUUUUUUCUUAUCUUUUUUAAUGCACUUUUCGUUUAACAAGUCAACAUCAAUUUCUUUUGUUGUAAAAGAGUCAUUGGAAGGUGGCUUUUUCUUCGGAAAAAGUGUUUAUAGCCUUUGGCUUCUGCAAUCGGAGAGAUUGAGGUCUGCAGCGUAGAUCCUUCGGGGUUAGAUACAUUUGUGCUAAGCUAUAGUUCUUUAUAGACAACUUGUUGACUAUAAUCAAUCCUGUAACUUACUCGCUUAUGCUAUUUUACCUACGCUUAGGAUGUUGAUCUGUAGUGCGUGCGC